RNAcentral lists this transfer RNA (73 nucleotides) under Candidatus Cacconaster caballi. Its description in RNAcentral is "tRNA-Thr". It matches the Rfam family "tRNA". From Rfam's summary of the family: Transfer RNA (tRNA) molecules are approximately 80 nucleotides in length. Lineage: Bacteria; Pseudomonadati; Bacteroidota; Bacteroidia; Bacteroidales. The record is from RNAcentral.
GCCACUUUAGCUCAGCUGGUAGAGCAGCUCCCUCGUAAAGAGCAGGUCGGGAGUUCGAGUCUCCCAAGUGGCU